GUGAAAUGUCUGCAGUUCACAUCGACUAAAGAGAAUUUUCAAUAAGUCUUCAGUUUAAUUAUCGAUUACUGUGUUCUUGAGACUCUCCAGUGUCAGAUUAAGAAGUUUGAUGUAUCUUCUAUUCAAGUUUAUCACCAGCAGGUUUUCAUGCUACCCUCAGUACUCCUCAAAUCUUUUGAGUCAUAUUAUUUUCCUCAUUCAAUUAAGUUUAUUUCA
Molecule: unclassified non-coding RNA, 216 nt
Filed under: Hevea brasiliensis (rubber tree)
Lineage: Eukaryota; Viridiplantae; Streptophyta; Magnoliopsida; Malpighiales; Euphorbiaceae
Source: RNAcentral